Molecule: ribosomal RNA, 497 nt
Filed under: uncultured bacterium
Lineage: Bacteria
Description: partial 16S ribosomal RNA
Rfam family: Bacterial small subunit ribosomal RNA
Source: RNAcentral
GAUGAACGCUGGCGGCGUGCCUAAUACAUGCAAGUCGAGCGAACGGACGAGAAGCUUGCUUCUCUGAUGUUAGCGGCGGACGGGUGAGUAACACGUGGAUAACCUACCUAUAAGACUGGGAUAACUUCGGGACACCGGCGCUAAUACCGGAUAAUCUUUUGAACCGCAUGGUUCAAAAGUGAAAGACGGUCUUGCUGUCACUUAUAGAUGGAUCCGCGCUGCAUUAGCUAGUUGGUAAGGUAACGGCUUACCAAGGCAACGAUGCAUAGCCGACCUGAGAGGGUGAUCGGCCACACGGGAACUGAGACACGGUCCAUACUCCUACGGGAGGCAGCAGUAGGGAAUCUUCCGCAAUGGGCGAAAGCCUGACGGAGCAACGCCGCGUGAGUGAUGAAGGUCUUCGGAUCGUAAAACUCUGUUAUGAGUGAAGAACAUAUGUGUAAGUAACUGUGCACAUCUUGACGGUACCUAAUCAGAAAGCCACGGCUAACUACGUG